AAGGUAUUGUAUCGCCUAUUAUUUGUUUCUAAGUAUUUGGUAUCAAUUAUAUCAUUAUGUAAUAGGCCUCACUUUACAUCCUUUGAGUACACUUAAGCUUGCCACGCUAUAAUAUUGUUCAAUUCCGGAUCAAGGCCAUACAUAUGUUUGUUAUCAAUGUCGGUGAAAACAUAACAUGAAAUGUAUAAAUACAUAUAUCAAAGAAACGCGAUAAAGAUUGUAAACUUAUCAAACUUUUAAAUACUCAAUUAAUCAAUAAACGAUAUUUUGU
This 271-nucleotide long non-coding RNA is filed under the name Mytilus galloprovincialis (Mediterranean mussel). Lineage: Eukaryota; Metazoa; Mollusca; Bivalvia; Mytilida; Mytilidae. The record is from RNAcentral.